Molecule: non-coding RNA, 192 nt
Filed under: Candidatus Koribacter versatilis Ellin345
Lineage: Bacteria; Pseudomonadati; Acidobacteriota; Terriglobia; Terriglobales; Candidatus Korobacteraceae
Description: 6S / SsrS RNA
Rfam family: 6S / SsrS RNA
About the family: E. coli 6S RNA was the first non coding RNA to be sequenced, but its function was unknown until recently. It consists of 184 nucleotides that fold into an extended hairpin structure with a large single-stranded internal bulge. The 6S RNA specifically associates with RNA polymerase holoenzyme containing the sigma70 specificity factor.
Source: Rfam by way of RNAcentral
GCCGGCCUGCAAAGUUGGUGACGGAUGGCAACCGUUUUUUGAACCGAUAAUUCAAUGAACAGGGUGCCCGCCUCGACAUAGAUCUGGUGUGCAUGCUCCGCCCUGCGGAGAAGCCUAAAGGAUCUCGGAGGGUGCCCACCGUAACGAACGGGUUCAUUGACGGCCCAUUGCGCACGGCUAAGCGGGUCGGCA